This 2984-nucleotide unclassified non-coding RNA is filed under the name Centruroides sculpturatus (bark scorpion). RNAcentral's name for it is "melatonin receptor type 1A-like, transcript variant X12". Lineage: Eukaryota; Metazoa; Arthropoda; Arachnida; Scorpiones; Buthidae. The record is from RNAcentral.
GCCAUUUUUAAUUUGUAUUGUUUAGAUAAAGAGAUAUUGAAGCUGUACAAGAAGCCGUAUUAUCACGACAAUUAUGAAUAAAGAAACUGCAACAGUAACGAAAAUAAAAAGAAAUGGACUGAACAAAAUCCCUUUACAGCGAACUCCUUUACGUACAGACUUAGAGCAUCAGAAUAUGCAAAAGAGGGGAGGAACGUCAUCGGAAACUCGCCGAGGAUCUGUUUUACUUUAAUUGGACUUGAAUACUCAGUUAGAAUAAGUCUGUUGCUUAUUUCAAUCGCAGGAAGACGAGUUUACAAAAUGGCGUCACCAAAUGUUGCCGGGAAAGUUAAGCAACGCGUCUCUGACCAGUUAAUGCCCGGUGGUAGAGUUCCACACCGAGUUAAAUAAUAAAGGAAUUUACUACUGUUACACAGGCCCCCUAAGUGCGAAACCUGGGUGCAGACGGCUCUACUGGCCUUCUCGUGAUACAUUCCAUGUACCGUACACGUACCCGAAGAGGGGUGGAAAUCAAGAAUGUGUUGCAGGUAUAUAAAUUCGACCCCAGUGCAAUAAAAGACUUUAGCGACGAUGUAACUUAAGUGUUUAUUGCAGCCAAGUAGAAAAGCUUCCACAGGAAAACAUUCUGUAACAAAGACGUUGCUUCCGGUUUUCUCGCAAUUUUUACCUACUAAAGAAUUUUAUUUAAUAUUUUCAAGUUAGAAGCUUCCAUUUUUUAAAUAAUAGAUUUAUUUUUUUUUUCUUAUUUUGGCCCCAUUAAGCUUAAGAUGAGAAUUUAAAAAUUGAAGAUCUCGAAAUACUUUAUAAAGAAGUGGAUUUCUGUAAUUGAUCUCUGUAAUUGAGAUGCGGGAUUAUGUUUGCCAUAACACAAUGUAACUUCAAUAACACGGAUGAUAUUGUUCUUAGUAAUGUCGUAAAAUUCUUGGCAUUAACCUUCAUAAGAAUUCGUCAAAAUCUCUUUUUUCUUGGAAGUAAAUUCGUAAUUUGUAAGGAUAAUUUUCAUUGUUUUCUGGACAAACUCGUAAAACACUUGCACAAUCGAUAUUGGCUGAUGGGUAUUCUAUUUACGAUCAUCUUUAUUGUAUUUUCCCCCACAGAAAGUACUGAUUUUUUAAAAUAUUUUUUUUUUUGCAUUUUAUGCAGAAGAUAAGAGUAAAAACUUUACACUAAAGACUUUCCUAUUGCAAUGAGCUACUAGAAAAAUAUCGAUUUAUAAAAGUAGCAGUCAAAUUUGCUGACUUUGGCUUCAAAUUCACUAGUUUUUCCCCCUCUUCCCCGAUCGAUUUGCAUACUUUUUAAAUAAUCAUUCGAUGCAGAUAUUACUAAAAAUCGAUUUUAAUAUGUAAUUAUUUAAGUCGAUGAUCGAAUCGACGUAAAUUCUGAUCAAAUAGCCCUUAAAUUAUUCUCGAAUAAUGCGAAUUUUCAUAGUUUAAAGCUGCAUCUAACUGGCUUAUACUAUAGAGAAUCGCUUUUUAAAGUAAACUCCAUUUUAAAAAAAAUCAUUAAUUUUAAGCAUCUCCAUUGUCUUUGCCACUAAAUCAAAUUGUCUAAGUCCGUAAUUUUGCAUAUUGCUGUUUAAUUAUUCACAUUAUUGUCACCGCACGCCUUGGAAGAAUUCAGUUUUAAGUGGAGCAUUUGCGUUAGUUUGCAUUAUUAAUUUUUAAUAACGAGAUUAAGAUGCGUAUCAUUUAAAUGAGAUAAAAAUAAUAAUAAAGAAUAAAUUUAUUGUCGUAAAGAAUAUCAGAUGUUAUCAUCUCAUAUUCUCUACGACAGUAAGUGCAAAGAAUCCUUCAAGGGUUCUUUGCACUUAGAAAAAUUGGAGUCAUAAUUCAAUUCUUUGACCUUUUUAUUAAUAUUAAUAAUAAUAAAUCCAUAAAUUAAAGAAGACUUUGACCUUGUCUAUUAAUAACCUUACCAACAAUUCUUCUUAUAUCGCCUGUUACAAAAGCCUACGCUAUAUAAGUUAAUUAUAUUUACGUAUGUGUAAAUUGUAGUUAGUUUAUUAAUCAAGAUAUAAAUUAAUAAUUAAUGCGAUUAAGAUCUGGCUCACAGACAGACCUUGCAAAGUCCUUUCGGAUUAUAUUGUUGUUUUCGCGAAACCAAUUUAUUUGAUUGUCUUUCAACAGAAGUAAUAAUAAGUGAAAACUGGAUUGCGAUCCAAUUGCUACUGGUAACAAUAGACGUCAGUUGUUCGUGAAAUUAUUCAAAUUGUUCGAGCAAUGUAAUAGAUUCGUGUAAGCUCGAGUAAUAAGAUUAAAUUCGGCAGUGAUGUUGCAUGAACUUAUAUUAAUCCCCCGUUUAUUAAAAGGUUAGAGAUUUAAUCCCUAUAAAAACCUUACGUUCAAAUAUAUGAUCCAUAUCUCAUAUUGAUAGAGACACUGAAAUAACUAAUUUACUUAAAAAGUCCAUGUCAAUAUAUGAGGUAUGGAUCAUAUAUUUGAAUGUAACGUUUUAUAGAGAUUGAAUCUCUAAAUAUGACCUUAGAUUAAUCCUCCAUUUAUUCAAACUUCAUACACUAAUUGAGAUAAUUAUAGUGUCUUCAUAAUAAAACUUUAUCUCAAUUAGUGUAUGAACUUAGAUUAAUCCAUCAAUUAUUCAAAGGUCAUUUAGAGAUUCGAUCCCAACAAAACCUUAUAUUUGAAUAUACGAUCCAUACUUCACACUGAUAUAGACAAAUGGAGAAACACUAAUUAUAGUGUCUUUAUAAUAAAACUUAAUCUCAAUUAAUGUUAUCAACGAGUUCUCCAUUAUUAUUUUAUUUAUAUCCUUAAAAAUUUCGCAUAGGCACACAACUUUAGCCUUAUUUUAAUUAUUUCUAUGCCAUUUUUAACGUCACACUACACGAGCUCCCUCCCCCUCUUAACACUACAUUUUAUCACCUCUCUUACUUAGUUUUUCAAUAAUUUAUACGGCGUGCAAUUAUGGAAUAAAAUAUCUUAAUGCCUCCAUUAAUUAUCAAUGAAUAUUAAUAUUCAUAACGCAAG